This 1677-nucleotide ribosomal RNA is filed under the name Streptomyces sp. NBRC 13847. RNAcentral's name for it is "partial 23S ribosomal RNA". It matches the Rfam family "Bacterial large subunit ribosomal RNA", at positions 4 to 1588 of the family's 2925-position model. The record is from RNAcentral. Lineage: Bacteria; Bacillati; Actinomycetota; Actinomycetes; Kitasatosporales; Streptomycetaceae.
CAAGUUUUUAAGGGCGCACGGUGGAUGCCUUGGCACCAGGAACCGAUGAAGGACGUGGGAGGCCACGAUAGGCCCCGGGGAGCUGUCAACCGAGCUUUGAUCCGGGGGUGUCCGAAUGGGGAAACCCGGCAGUCGUCAUGGGCUGUCACCCGCUGCUGAACACAUAGGCAGUGUGGAGGGAACGCGGGGAAGUGAAACAUCUCAGUACCCGCAGGAAGAGAAAACAACCGUGAUUCCGGGAGUAGUGGCGAGCGAAACCGGAUGAGGCCAAACCAGUCACGUGUGAUACCCGGCAGGGGUUGCGUGGUUGGGGUUGUGGGAGUUCUCUUUUGCAGUCUGCCGGCUGUGAGACGAGUCAGAAACCGUUGAUGUAGGCGAAGGACAUGCGAAAGGUCCGGCGUAGAGGGUAAGACCCCCGUAGCUGAAACAUUAGCGGCUCGUUUGAGAACCACCCAAGUAGCACGGGGCCCGAGAAAUCCCGUGUGAAUCUGGCGGGACCACCCGUUAAGCCUAAAUAUUCCCUGGUGACCGAUAGCGGAUAGUACCGUGAGGGAAUGGUGAAAAGUACCGCGGGAGCGGAGUGAAAUAGUACCUGAAACCGUGUGCCUACAAGCCGUGGGAGCGUCGCGCAUCGAGCUUGCUCGGUGCGUCGUGACUGCGUGCCUUUUGAAGAAUGAGCCUGCGAGUUUGCGGUAUGUUGCGAGGUUAACCCGUGUGGGGAAGCCGUAGCGAAAGCGAGUCCGAAUAGGGCGUUGAGUAGCGUGCCCAAGACCCGAAGCGGAGUGAUCUAGCCAUGGGCAGGUUGAAGCGGAGGUAAGACUUCGUGGAGGACCGAACCCACCAGGGUUGAAAACCUGGGGGAUGACCUGUGGUUAGGGGUGAAAGGCCAAUCAAACUCCGUGAUAGCUGGUUCUCCCCGAAAUGCAUUUAGGUGCAGCGUCGUGUGUUUCUUGCCGGAGGUAGAGCACUGGAUAGGCGAUGGGCCCUACCGGGUUACUGACCUUAGCCAAACUCCGAAUGCCGGUAAGUGAGAGCGCGGCAGUGAGACUGUGGGGGAUAAGCUCCAUGGUCGAGAGGGAAACAGCCCAGAGCAUCGACUAAGGCCCCUAAGCGUGUGCUAAGUGGGAAAGGAUGUGGAGUCGCAGAGACAACCAGGAGGUUGGCUUAGAAGCAGCCACCCUUGAAAGAGUGCGUAAUAGCUCACUGGUCAAGUGAUUCCGCGCCGACAAUGUAGCGGGGCUCAAGCACACCGCCGAAGUCGUGUCAUUGCGAUAUUACCCCCAACGGGGAUCGUGAUGGGUAGGGGAGCGUCGUGUGCCGGGUGAAGCAGCCGUGGAAACGAGUUGUGGACGGUUCACGAGUGAGAAUGCAGGCAUGAGUAGCGAUACACACGUGGGAAACGUGUGCGCCGAUUGACUAAGGGUUCCUGGGUCAAGCUGAUCUGCCCAGGGUAAGUCGGGACCUAAGGCGAGGCCGACAGGCGUAGUCGAUGGACAACCGGUUGAUAUUCCGGUACCCGCUUUGAAACGCCCAGUAUCGAAUCCAUUAAUGCUAAGGCCGUGAAGCCGGCCUGGAGUCUUCGGACAAAGGGACGUGGUGGAGCCGCCGAUCCAAGGUGGUAGUAGGUAAGCGAUGGGGUGACGCAGGAAGGUAGUCCAGCCCGGGCGGUGGUUGUCC